GUGGGCUCGGGGUGCUGCAAUGCAGCC
RNAcentral lists this non-coding RNA (27 nucleotides) under Cricetulus griseus (Chinese hamster). Lineage: Eukaryota; Metazoa; Chordata; Mammalia; Rodentia; Cricetidae. The record is from RNAcentral.